Molecule: ribosomal RNA, 468 nt
Filed under: uncultured bacterium
Lineage: Bacteria
Description: partial 16S ribosomal RNA
Rfam family: Bacterial small subunit ribosomal RNA
Source: RNAcentral
GACGAACGCUGGCGGCGUGCUUAACACAUGCAAGUCGAACGGAAGGGCCCUGCUUUUGUGGGGUGCUCGAGUGGCGAACGGGUGAGUAACACGUGAGUAACCUGCCCUUGACUUUGGGAUAACUUCAGGAAACUGGGGCUAAUACCGGAUAGGAGCUCCUGCUGCAUGGUGGGGGUUGGAAAGUUUCGGCGGUUGGGGAUGGACUCGCGGCUUAUCAGCUUGUUGGUGGGGUAGUGGCUUACCAAGGCUUUGACGGGUAGCCGGCCUGAGAGGGUGACCGGCCACAUUGGGACUGCGAUACGGCCCAGACUCCUACGGGAGGCAGCAGUGGGGAAUAUUGCACAGUGGGCGGAAGCCUGAUGCAGCAACGCCGCGUGCGGGAUGCCGGCCUUCGGGUUGUAAACCGCUUUCGCCUGAGACGAAGCGUGAGUGACGGUAAUGGGUAAAGAAGCACCGGCUAACUACGUG